RNAcentral lists this ribosomal RNA (460 nucleotides) under uncultured bacterium. RNAcentral's name for it is "partial 16S ribosomal RNA". It matches the Rfam family "Bacterial small subunit ribosomal RNA", at positions 338 to 795 of the family's 1533-position model. The record is from RNAcentral.
CCUACGGGUGGCAGCAGUGAGGAAUAUUGGUCAAUGGGAGGAAUCCUGAACCAGCCAUGCCGCGUGCAGGACGACGGCUCUACGAGUUGUAAACUGCUUUUGUACCGGGGUAAAAUGCUCUACGAGUAGGGUUUUGAAAGUACGGUACGAAUAAGGAUCGGCUAACUCCGUGCCAGCAGCCGCGGUAAUACGGAGGAUCCGAGCGUUAUCCGGAUUUAUUGGGUUUAAAGGGUGCGUAGGUUGUUUUAUAAGUUAGCGGUGAAAUACCGAUGCUCAACAUCGGGGCUGCCGCUGAUACUGUAGGACUAGAGAUCGGAUGCAGCAGGCGGAAUGUGUAGUGUAGCGGUGAAAUGCAUAGAUAUUACACAGAACACCGAUUGCGAAGGCAGCUUGCUAGGCCGGAUCUGACACUGAUGCACGAAGGCGUGGGGAUCGAACAGGAUUAGAUACCCCUGUAGUC